CCUCCUUAUACGAUUUAGAACUUAUUUGUUCGUAGUGUCCACACAGAUGAUUGUUAGUUAGUUUCACCUUUGGGUUUAACUGAUUAAUAUGCUCUUUAAAAAUUUGGAAAAGCUGAUAAUAAAAUUCGUAUGAAUACAGUGUAUUUGUACAGAGUUUUCAAAAGUAAAAAGAAUGAUAGCAGUAUCAUUCAGUGCCAUUUAAUAAACGUUUCGUUUGUUGAUUGGUAUCUACUUUAGUAUUCAAUAUUAACUUCUGGCGAAGUUAAACUGUCACAAAACAAAAGACCCGUUUGGGUUGUUAUGGUUAAGUGACUAAAGCGUACACGGUUGGAUGCCUU
This 338-nucleotide unclassified non-coding RNA is filed under the name uncultured Pseudoalteromonas sp. RNAcentral describes it as "partial 16S-23S ribosomal RNA intergenic spacer". Lineage: Bacteria; Pseudomonadati; Pseudomonadota; Gammaproteobacteria; Alteromonadales; Pseudoalteromonadaceae. The record is from RNAcentral.